GGUUUGACCUCGGAUCAGGUAGGGUUACC
Molecule: ribosomal RNA, 29 nt
Filed under: Scedosporium boydii
Lineage: Eukaryota; Fungi; Ascomycota; Sordariomycetes; Microascales; Microascaceae
Description: partial 28S ribosomal RNA
Source: RNAcentral